This 413-nucleotide ribosomal RNA is filed under the name uncultured bacterium. RNAcentral describes it as "bacterial SSU rRNA". It matches the Rfam family "Bacterial small subunit ribosomal RNA", at positions 505 to 916 of the family's 1533-position model. The record is from RNAcentral.
GUGUCACCCGCCGCGGUAAUACAGAGGGUGCAAGCGUUGUUCGGAAUUAUUGGGCGUAAAGCGCGUGUAGGCGGCGUGACAAGUCGGGUGUGAAAGCCCUCAGCUCAACUGAGGAAGUGCGCCCGAAACUGUCGUGCUUGAGUGCCGGAGAGGGUGGCGGAAUUCCCCAAGUAGAGGUGAAAUUCGUAGAUAUGGGGAGGAACACCGGUGGCGAAGGCGGCCACCUGGACGGUAACUGACGCUGAGACGCGAAAGCGUGGGGAGCAAACAGGAUUAGAUACCCUGGUAGUCCACGCCGUAAACGAUGAGAACUAGGUGUCGUGGGAGUUGACCCCCGCGGUGCCGAAGCUAACGCAUUAAGUUCUCCGCCUGGGAAGUACGGUCGCAAGACUAAAACUUAAAUGAAUUGGCGG